UCAUUAAAGUUUGGGGCACUCUGUGGAGACUGCCGGUGUCAAACCGGAGGAAGUGGGGAUGACGUCAAGUCCUCAUGGCCCUUAUGACCAGGGCUACACACGUGCUACAAUGGCCGGUACAAAGAGUUGCGAUACCGCGAGGUGGAGCUAAUCUCAUAAAGCCGGUCUCAGUUCGGAUUGGAGUCUGCAACUCGACUCCAUGAAGUUGGAAUCGCUAGUAAUCGCGGAUCAGCAUGCCGCGGUGAAUACGUUCCCGGGCCUU
Molecule: ribosomal RNA, 262 nt
Filed under: uncultured Geobacter sp.
Lineage: Bacteria; Pseudomonadati; Thermodesulfobacteriota; Desulfuromonadia; Geobacterales; Geobacteraceae
Description: partial 16S ribosomal RNA
Rfam family: Bacterial small subunit ribosomal RNA
Source: RNAcentral